Molecule: non-coding RNA, 226 nt
Organism: Pelobates cultripes (western spadefoot toad)
Lineage: Eukaryota; Metazoa; Chordata; Amphibia; Anura; Pelobatidae
Source: the annotation of a GenBank genome assembly
GGGGAUUUCUUUUUAAGAAAAAGUAAUCUGAGCUACCAAUGCAAAUUGAAAACUCUGAAACACACAUCUGCACACUCUGUGUAUGAGCAGUGUAAUAUAUAGUAAUUUAGAGAUAUGGUAAUAUACUUACAACAAAAGACAUACCCAUCAAUGUCACCCUUGAAAAAAACAUGUUGCUUCUGUUGAUCUAAAACCAGUCACCAAUCCAGAACAAUUUCAAUUUUGC